This 296-nucleotide unclassified non-coding RNA is filed under the name Hevea brasiliensis (rubber tree). Lineage: Eukaryota; Viridiplantae; Streptophyta; Magnoliopsida; Malpighiales; Euphorbiaceae. The record is from RNAcentral.
GAAACUGAUAACUUGACUGGCCAGGGCCAAGUGUUUGGAUGUGAUAGACUUCAAACCAGACACCUGCAUAGCACCAGCUCCAAGUACAAGUUGACAAGUUCUCGUAUUGAAAAACUUCAAGAUGUCAACAACACGGUGAACUACUUCUGAUGAUAGGCCAGUCAAACUAUUAUUCAUGUCAAUAUAUUCUGACAACAUCUUCACCAAAAUCAAGCCACAGUUUACCAUGUGAUACGCAACACCCCCAAACGAUAGCAUUCUAGGAGAUGAUCUUCCGCGUUCUCUUGAUUUCGUGU